CCCCUCAAGAUGAGAUUUCCCAGUAUGUAAGACCCCUUGAAGACGACGAGGUAGAUAGGUUGGAGGUGGAAGUGCAGCAAUGCAUGGAGCUGACCAAUACUAAUCGGUCGAGGGCUUAUCCUAA
This 124-nucleotide ribosomal RNA is filed under the name Paenibacillus dendrobii. Its description in RNAcentral is "partial 23S ribosomal RNA". It matches the Rfam family "Bacterial large subunit ribosomal RNA", at positions 2795 to 2925 of the family's 2925-position model. Lineage: Bacteria; Bacillati; Bacillota; Bacilli; Caryophanales; Paenibacillaceae. The record is from RNAcentral.